This 72-nucleotide transfer RNA is filed under the name Cricetulus griseus (Chinese hamster). It matches the Rfam family "tRNA". From Rfam's summary of the family: Transfer RNA (tRNA) molecules are approximately 80 nucleotides in length. Their secondary structure includes four short double-helical elements and three loops (D, anti-codon, and T loops). The record is from Rfam by way of RNAcentral. Lineage: Eukaryota; Metazoa; Chordata; Mammalia; Rodentia; Cricetidae.
AGGCAUGUGGCUUAGAGGUAGAGCAUUUGCCUAGCAUGUAGAAGGCCCUGGGUUCAAGUCAUAGCAUCACUA